RNAcentral lists this ribosomal RNA (2007 nucleotides) under Triticum aestivum (bread wheat). RNAcentral describes it as "partial small subunit ribosomal RNA". Lineage: Eukaryota; Viridiplantae; Streptophyta; Magnoliopsida; Poales; Poaceae. The record is from RNAcentral.
GGAAGAGGUUUUCCGGCUCCUCUUGUUCAACCGAGGGAGGAUAAGAGGAGAGCGAGAGAGAGAGAGAGAGAGAGAGAGAGAGAGAGCUUCGACUGAGGUGAUGGAGCUUCUGCGGAUACCACUAUCCCUACCGAUUCUUGGAGGUAGGACGGUAGAUCCACUUGCUUCAUCGCUUGCUGAUUCAUGCUUCCACUAGUAGAUGCCACUACCUGCUUGUGUAAAUGCCCAGCCGUAACUAGGUCCCCACUUUACCAGAGUUCUUGGUAUCCUUUUGAUGCUCAUCUAAGUCUGUUUUCUGUUUGUACGUGUAUGGCAGUAACCUGACCUCUAUAACAUAUUUAGACAGCUGCCUGCCACUUCUCUCAGGAAGUGUGUUUCCUUUGCUCAGACAGUACUGUGUCUAUGGAACACAUGAUUCCCUAACCUGGAGCAGCUUACAAACCACCAGGAGAAAGCAGAACCUGAAUGGGGGUCGGUGGUCUGCACAGUGUGCGACGAGUCACGAUGGAGCUUCUGUCUCACAUGUAAAUGGUGCUCCAAAGGAUUCGCCUUUGCCGGAUAGUUUGCUUCGUGAUGCUCGCAUCCUCUAUUGUGCAUCUCCUGCCAUGGGUCAUAACAAGGAAGCACAUCCAGAAUCAAACAAAAGAGUGCCAGCAAUAGUUGAUGCUCUCGAAAAAUUGGAGCUUACACCAAAGCAUCGGGGUUCACAGGUUCUUGAAAUCCAAAAUUUCUACCCUGCUUCACUUGAUGAUGUUGCACGAGUUCAUUCAAGAACAUACAUCACUGGACUUGAAAAGGCUAUGAGUAAGGCUUUGGAUGAAGGUUUGAUAUUCAUCGAAGGAACUGGACCAACAUAUGCUACACAGACUACUUUCACAGAAUCACUUCUUUCAGCUGGUGCUGGAAUUACAUUGGUUGAUUCAGUGUGCUCGUUUGCCAAGAAAUGUUGUAUGUUUUCCUAGGUUGCAGCAUCAAAGCUGGGCCUAAGUCCACCUCUUGGAUUUGCGCUAAUAAGGCCACCCGGACACCAUGCUGUUCCUGAAGGUCCCAUGGGCUUUUGCGUCUUUGGGAACAUUGCAGUUGCAGCUCGGUACGCUCAGUGUCAACAUGGAUUGAAGCGAGUAAUGAUAAUAGAUUUUGAUGUUCACCAUGGCAAUGGCACAUGUGAUGCCUUUUAUGACGAUCCAGACAUCUUCUUCCUCUCAACCCACCAGCUAGGAAGCUAUCCCGGUACUGGUAAGAUGAAUCUAAUUGGUCAGGGCAGUGGCGAAGGAACAACGCUGAACCUGCCAUUGCCCGGUGGCUCAGGUGACUACUCAAUGAGGUGCGCCUUUGAUGAGGUCAUUGCUCCAUCUGCGCAGCGGUUCAAGCCCGAUAUCAUCCUCGUUUCAGCUGGCUACGACGCGCACGUGCUGGACCCUCUAGCGGGUCUGCAGUUCACGACGGGCACGUUCUACAUGCUGGCGUCGAGCAUCAAGCAGCUGGCCAGGGAGCUGUGCAGCGGCCGCUGCGUCUUCUUCCUGGAAGGUGGUUACAACCUGCAGUCGCUCUCCAGCUCUGUGGCUGACACCUUCCGUGCGUUCCUCGACGAGCCCAGCCUCGCUGCUCAGUUCGACGACCCGGCAAUGUUGUACGAGGAGCCGACGCGGAGGAUCAAGGAGGCGAUCGAGAAGGUCAGGCAUCUUCACUCGCUGUAGGUUACGCGCCGGGAGAUGAGGUGUAGACUCUACUGCUUGCAGCGCACGCACCAUGAAAUCAGAUCACGUGUUGCAUUUGCAGGUUCAGAGAGUGGGUGUGUGUGUUUGAAACAUCUGCUUGCUGGUCAUACACACUUGGUUAACUGCUGUCAAAAGCAUUGAUUUAUUAGGGAUCCUACACACAUAAUACAACUGAGUGUGCAACUGGGUCAUACAUAGAAUUGUGUGUGCGUGCGUGUGUAUGUAUUUAUUGUGGAUCCUGCGUGUAUAUAAUACUGCAUUUUGCCCUUCCAAACAAAAAUUACGUUAU